CCUGCCAGUAGUCAUAUGCUUGUCUCAAAGAUUAAGCCAUGCAUGUGUAAGUGCACGCCUAAGUAUGGUGAAACCGCGAAUGGCUCAUUAAAUCAGCUAUAAUUUAUUGGACUAUAAAUCACGUUAUAUGGAUAACUGUAAUAAUUCUAGAGCUAAUACAUGCCGAUAUGCCCUGAGCUGAUCACUCUUACUCACUUCUGUGAUAAGUAAGUAAGUGAUUAGUGAUGGGUGCCCUUAUUAGUAUAAAAGCCAACCAGCCUAAUUAGCUCAUGCUCAUGCUAAGGCUGAUAAUGAUAUUGGUAGAUGAGUCUGGAUAAUUGUUGCAGAUCGCAUUAUGCGGCGACGGGUCCUUCAAAUGUCUGCCCUAUCAACUUUCGAUGGUAGGUGAUCUGCCUACCAUGGUGCUAACGGGUAACGGGGAAUCAGGGUUCGAUUCCGGAGAGGGAGCUUGAGAAAUGGCUACCACUUCCAAGGAAGGCAGCAGGCGCGCAAAUUACCCACUCCCGGCACGGGGAGGUGGUGACGAAAAAUACUGAUACGGGACUCUUAUGAAGCUCCGUAAUCGGAAUGAGUGAAAUUUAAAUCCUUUCACGAGGAUCUAUUGGAGGGCAAGUCUGGUGCCAGCAGCCGCGUAACUCAGCUCAAUAGCGUAUAUUAAAGUUGCUGCAGUUAGAACGCUCGUAGUUGGAUCUCGGUGACAUUGAUACACACAACGUAAUUUGUCUAAGUAAAUGGGUAAGUAAGUAAGUAAGUAAGUAAGUAAGCAGGGAGGGUGUGAGUGCGAGUGCGAAUAGCAUUAACUAACUCACUCACUCACUCACUCACUCACUCACUAACUAACUANCUAGCCAGCUAUCAAUANCUAACUAACAAAUAGAUAUGUGUGUGUGUGUAUCUAUCUAUCUAUGUAUGUCAAUCUAACAAACACACACAUACAUACAUACAGAUUGAGUGUGUGUGUGUGCGUGCAUACAUACAUACAUACACACACACACACACACACACUCACNCAGGCAACCCUAGUAGUAAUUUAUGUGUGUGUUUGUUUCAGCCCGCAAGUUANUAAUAAUGAUGGCUUGCUAGCAUGCCUUCGGAUGCUCNUUAUUGGGUGUGUGUGUGCAGACGGNACGUUUACUUUCAACAAANUUNAGUGAUCNAUCCAGGCGUUGGUAUGUAUGUAUGUAUGUAUGUAUACUUGCUUGAAAAGUUUUGCAUGGAAUAAUGAAAUAGGACUUCGGUUCUAUUUUGUUGGUUUUGAGAUCCGAAGUAAUGAUCAAAAGAGACAGGCGGGGACGUUUGUAUGGUAGCGAUAGAGGUGAAAUUCAUUGACCGUUACCAGACACACUAAAGCGAAAGCAUUCGUCAAGCAUGUUUUCAUUGACCAUGAGCGAAAGUCAGAGGCUCGAAGACGAUCAGAUACCGUCGUAGUUCUGACCAUAAACGAUGCCAACUGACGAUCUGUGACGGAUAACCUUGUUUAGUUUCCCACAGGCAGUCUCCGGGAAACCUUUAAGUGUGUGGUUCCGGGGGAAGUAUGGUUGCAAAGCUGAAACUUAAAGGAAUUGACGGAAGGGCACCACCAGGAGUGGNGUGCGGCUUAAUUCGACUCAACACGGGAAAACUCACCCGGCCCGGACACUGUGAGGAUUGACAGAUUGAGAGAUCUUUCAUGAUUCGGUGGUUGGUGGUGCAUGGCCGUUCUUAGUUGGUGGAGCGAUUUGUCUGGUUAAUUCCGAUAACGAACGAGACUCUAGCCUGCUAAUUAGUGCAUUUGUCCUCUCUACUCAUAUUUACUCAUCACAUUAUUCACAUUACAAAUGUUAUUGUUAUUGUUAUUGUUAUUGUUAUUAUGUUGUUGUUGUCGUCGUCGUCGUCGUCGUCGUUGUGGNUAUCCUUGUUGUUAUGCUUGUUGUUNUGAUUGAUCCUUAUUAGUAAUGAUUAAUUAAUAGAUCGGCUAAUGAUAGUGAUAAUGAUGAUGAUGAUGAUGAUGAUGAUGAUGAUGAUGAUGAUGAUGAUGAUGAUGAUGAUGAUGAUGAUAAUGAUAAUAAUGAGUAAUGAAUUGACAUUAAUUAUUUGAGUAGAGUGCAAAUUAGUACUUCUUAGAAGGACCGGUAGGCUUUAACCUACACGAAAUUGAGCAAUAACAGGUCUGUGAUGCCCUUAGAUGUCCGGGGCCGCACGCGCGCUACAAUGAUGGUACCAACGAGUUUGAAAUUCUGGCCCGAGAGGUUGGGUAAACUGUUUAAUUACCGUCGUGACAGGAAUCGGGGCUUGGAAUUGUUCCCCGUAAACGAGGAAUUCCUAGUAAGUGCAAGUCAUUAGCUUGCACUGAUUACGUCCUGCCCUUUGUACACACCGCCCGUCGCUACUACCGAUUGAAUGGUUUAGCAAG
Molecule: ribosomal RNA, 2392 nt
Filed under: Schizocoerus liguloideus
Lineage: Eukaryota; Metazoa; Platyhelminthes; Cestoda; Amphilinidea; Schizochoeridae
Description: SSU rRNA
Rfam family: Eukaryotic small subunit ribosomal RNA
Source: RNAcentral